GGGGCUGAUUCUGGAUUCGACGGGAUUUGCGAAACCCAAGGUGCAUGCCGAGGGGCGGUUGGCCUCGUAAAAAGCCGCAAAAAAUAGUCGCAAACGACGAAAACUACGCUUUAGCAGCUUAAUAACCUGCUUAGAGCCCUCUCUCCCUAGCCUCCGCUCUUAGGACGGGGAUCAAGAGAGGUCAAACCCAAAAGAGAUCGCGUGGAAGCCCUGCCUGGGGUUGAAGCGUUAAAACUUAAUGAUAACGCCAUUGAGGCUGGUCAUGGCGCUCAUAAAUCUGGUAUACUUACCUUUACACAUUGGGGCUGAUUCUGGAUUCGACGGGAUUUGCGAAACCCA
This 339-nucleotide transfer-messenger RNA is filed under the name Mycobacterium tuberculosis. Its description in RNAcentral is "partial transfer-messenger RNA". It matches the Rfam family "transfer-messenger RNA", at positions 1 to 303 of the family's 374-position model. Rfam says of the family: Bacterial tmRNA, also known as 10Sa RNA or SsrA, is named for its dual tRNA and mRNA-like properties. Its role is to liberate the mRNA from a stalled ribosome. Lineage: Bacteria; Bacillati; Actinomycetota; Actinomycetes; Mycobacteriales; Mycobacteriaceae. The record is from RNAcentral.